CGUAUCUUAAAACGCAUGGCCAUCACAAUCAUCUGGUCAGCGGGAACAGGAGUCAUGACGUCAUAUGAUACAUACUCUGGGAAGGCACACGCUACCAGAAACUUCCGUACCACGUGACAAAUACGACACCACUGUAAUCGAAAACAGCCAAGUAGUCGAGCAGUACAACGUCUACACUAAUAGCUGUUCAGUUGUGACGAGGAUUCCUGGGCCUAACGGGGUUGUGUGUUUUUUUACUCUUGCUCCCAGAAGUAAGGGUGAGAAAGAAUUGUUGCCUUUGUUUGUGUGUACCCGGGUCGAGAAACUAAGAAUGGGGGCAAGCAAAGGGGAGCAAGGAAUAUGGAAUUGUAACUGAUAAACAAUGAAAACAAAUCGAGGACAUGGCCGAGAAUCGAACCUCGUCCAGAUCAGGCUUCGUUGUGCCAUUCAAGUCACAAGCCGUCAUCAUCAUGGCCCUACAACCACACAACAGGGCUAUUAAUCACUCUGAUAACCGUUACAAAAGGAGCCAUAGAUAAACGUCUCAACAACAA
Molecule: long non-coding RNA, 533 nt
Organism: Nematostella vectensis (starlet sea anemone)
Lineage: Eukaryota; Metazoa; Cnidaria; Anthozoa; Actiniaria; Edwardsiidae
Exons: 2
Source: RefSeq, a predicted model, not a curated record